This 466-nucleotide ribosomal RNA is filed under the name uncultured bacterium. Its description in RNAcentral is "bacterial SSU rRNA". It matches the Rfam family "Bacterial small subunit ribosomal RNA", at positions 329 to 793 of the family's 1533-position model. The record is from RNAcentral.
CUCCAGACUCCUACGGGAGGCAGCAGUGAGGAAUAUUGGUCAAUGGCCGGAAGGCUGAACCAGCCAAGCCGCGUGAAGGACGAAGGUGCCAAGCAUUGUAAACUUCUUUUGUCAAGGGACAAAAUCAGGCUCGAGAGCCUGACCGAGGGUACUUGAAGAAAAAGCAUCGGCUAACUCCGUGCCAGCAGCCGCGGUAAUACGGAGGAUGCGAGCGUUAUCCGGAUUUAUUGGGUUUAAAGGGUGCGUAGGCGGUCCGUUAAGUCAGUGGUAAAAUUGCGGGGCUCAACCCCGUCGAGCCGUUGAAACUGGCAGACUUGAGUUGGCGAGAAGUAUGCGGAAUGCGUGGUGUAGCGGUGAAAUGCAUAGAUAUCACGCAGAACUCCGAUUGCGAAGGCAGCAUACCGGCGCUCAACUGACGCUCAUGCACGAAAGCGUGGGUAUCGAACAGGAUUAGAUACCCGUGUAA